CGGGACGGCCGCGCGCUCGCAGCGCAGGCCGCGUUCGCGAAUCGCGCCCUCCCAGUUCGCGCGGUGGAAACCAGCAUCUGAAAGGAGAGGGACGCGCGACUCCAGGCGACCGCUACGCCGGCAGCGUAGGCGUAGAACUGGUGGGGUGCGCGGAGGAAGCCGGGGGAGAUAAGAACAGCGGCGCAGGACGCCUAGCGGCCGGAGCGGAGACCGAGCGGUCCAGCCGCGCAAGUCUGCGGAUGGGGAAGCGGGGACUUGGCCAAGGUCACGCCGCGUCUCCGCGGCCGAGGAUGAACCAAGGUCACGCCACCCGCCCCUGGGCCCUGCCGGUCGGUCUCGAAGGGGUUGAGGGGGAAGGUUUGUUGGAAAAAGGAGGAUGUAGUUAAAGGCAACGGAAGCUGCAGCCUGAGACAUCUGGGAUUUGGAACUGCAAGGAAACGGCGCAUGGGAGGCGUGUGCACUUUGCGUUGAUAGCCUGAACCUCAGGAUGUCUUAGGGGCUGGUGCAUGUCGCCCAUUACAAAGAACAAAUAUUUAUUCUGCAAUCUUUUAUUGAUGCUAAAGGUAAUUGCUUCCUCUUAUGGUAAACAAGAGGGCCAGAAAGGAACACGCGCGCGUGCGUGCGUGUGUACACACAUAAUGUAAAUCAUAAAACAUCAUCGUUUCUGGCAAUAAAUGAGGAGUGUGUGUUGUGGAUGUCAAACAGAUUCUCCAGGAAAAGAUAUACAGACAGAAGCUCUCCAGAAAGGAAAACUGGUGUAUGACCUGUGAAUGUUCUCAGCAACCCAGAACAAACCAAGUACCAUGCAGAUGCCCUAAACGUACCAAAAAUCCUGUGCAGUAUCUGUCUGGAGCAUUAACCAAGGGAUUCUG
RNAcentral lists this long non-coding RNA (872 nucleotides) under Homo sapiens (human). RNAcentral's name for it is "HSALNT0105363". The record is from RNAcentral. Lineage: Eukaryota; Metazoa; Chordata; Mammalia; Primates; Hominidae.